CCAGAGCUAUUCUCAUUGAGAGACCAAAACAGAUACCGGAAUUUAUUGCCACUUAUUGCGAAGAGCUGCUGAAAUUUAGAGAAUGUGAUCUUUUGAUGGAUACCAAGGAUGUUACACAUCGCUACCAAGACAUCCGUGAGACAAAACACAUCAAAGACUUGAAAGAUGCCAUAGACCUAAUGUACAGGCAGCUAGGCCAUCAGGAUCAGCCUGGAGAUC
RNA transcript from Esox lucius (northern pike), 219 nucleotides. RefSeq lists it as uncharacterized. The record is from RefSeq and is a predicted model, not a curated record. The transcript is spliced from 3 exons. NCBI's taxonomy places the organism in Eukaryota, Metazoa, Chordata, Actinopteri, Esociformes, Esocidae.